This 2799-nucleotide long non-coding RNA is filed under the name Mus pahari (shrew mouse). RNAcentral's name for it is "lncRNA (MGP_PahariEiJ_G0005036.1)". Lineage: Eukaryota; Metazoa; Chordata; Mammalia; Rodentia; Muridae. The record is from RNAcentral.
AGAGCAGCUGGGAACCUGGGAUUGUUCUGGAGCUCACUGGAACUCGCAACCCUGUGUGAGGCCCUGUGCAGAGGUUCUAGCCAGAGAAAUACAUUCCUGGUCAGUGUGAUGGAAGAGGCUCAGACCAAUGACUCUUUUCAACUUGAACUUGAAGAUUUCAUUAGAAAGCAGAAAGCCAGAGGAUUACAUCCAAAUGUCUGCUUCAGAAAGAUGGCAGUGGACUCCGUUCACCAGAAGGGAGACAGUGUCAGUCUUGGAGCUCCAAUGCAGGCGCUACCAUUCUGGCUCAGAAACUACUCCAGACCUCCUUCCUAUAAAAGGCUGACAGUGGAAAACCAGGUACCUUACUGCAGACAAAGACUGGAAUCUCUAAAACACAGUCUGAAAAACCAGCCAGUCAGUCAAGACAGAAAGGAGAGGACAUGGCUCCAGGAGGAAGGAGGAGCCACCACUCGGGAGCCAGGGAUACCCAAGGGGAAGCUUGACAGAGUGAGGGGUUCACGCACAGAAGACAGCCUCAGCAGAAGGAAGGUCUCAGCAGAGCCAGUGGGAACACAGAAGUCUAAGAACAGAAAGGAGAACCACCAUACUGGGAGAGACUCCACCAAAGGCAGGCGCCGCUCCCACCAGAAGAAGAAGGGGCCGGAGGAGAGGGAUUUGUGGGAUGAAGCCAUCUUGGGCAGUCGCUACUGAUGUGGGUACAUUUUGGGUCCCCAAAGUCAAUGUGUCGAUUCUCUUGGUAAGGAUGGAUUAAAUGACCUCAAAGUAAUUAGACGCCAGGCCAGCUGCUGUGGUCCAUCUGCUCUGCUGGUGUAGAACUUGUGAGUCUGCACAGGGUUGCUCUUUUGGUACUGGCAGUGACAGACCCUUUAGUGGGCAAGGCCUUGGGGCUGUGCUGACAGACACAGGGACUUUCAGUCACAAGCCCGAGUGCCUGGAGCUUUAGAAGCCAGCCAGUCCAGCUAGAUCUAGGUGCUGAGGCUUGAGACUCUUCUGCUCUAGCUGUUCAUCAUCAGAGGCCCUAGCCCUUGGCUCAGAGCAGAAGCUAGCGGGAGGAGGUAGUAGCUGCCAGCUCCUGUAACAGGCCAGGGCUACGGGGAACUGGCGUAUUCAGACAGCUGGCAUCUCCCGGAAGCUCUUCCUGUGAGCAGGGCCUACUUGCCCUUCUACACGUUUUUGUGGCCUCCAGCACUUCUGCUCCCUAUUGUUUCUGCCCUUAGCCACUCUGGGAAUUUGAGCCACAUUCUUACCACCAUUGCUACUAUGGAAAAUGCAGCAACAAGAGCUGCUGUCACCUUUGCCAUAGCUAUCAUUCUGGCGAUGCUCCUGUCCUUUAUUCCGUCUUCUGGCUGCCACUCAGCCCCUCUCGUGAUGAUAAAGAUUAAAAGGAGACAAGAAAAGAAUUGCGAUCUGCACUAAUCGGGCUGUAUUUUUUUUUCUCCAAGCUGAGGAUUUAAUCCAGAGCCUUGGGCACGCUAGGCAAGAGCUCUCUCACUUAGCUACAUCUCACCCCCAGUCAUGAGCCACCUUCUGAUGGGCCAUCAAGGGAAGUGCCCUGCCACACCUAGUCCGGCUAAAAUUGACAGCAGGAUUACCCAACAUUCACCGAGGUUUACGAUAAGCAGAUGGACAUACGCUGUGUGAAGCAGUCUUGGUAAUAGUAGCUGGGCUUAAGGGUGUUCACGACCAUGCCCACCAAGAGAGGAUUGUCAUACGAUACAUUAGCCAGAUGCUAUUAAACAAGAAAAAUUAAAUGUCCAAACAUUUAGAAGCAAAGCAGAAGGCCUUGCUAUAAAAAUCUAUAAAAAUUAGAGUCUUGAAAAUAGGCAUUAAAUAAACACACAGAAGAACUCCAGAAAGACAUGGAGUAUCUGGUACAAGUGGGCUCAGGACACAAGAAUUUGAUGGGUAAAGGACAACAGUAAGGGGCAGACUAACCUUCAAGGGGCUAGUGAGAGGGUCUGGGGUAGAGAGGAGCUUGCCACCAAGCCUGGCUUAAACCUGAGUUUGAUCCCUGGGUCUCACACUGUAGAAGGAGGGAGCUAACGCCUGCAGUGUUAUUCUUUGUACAGAGUUUUGUUUUAUAUGAGACUUUUCCUGUUGCUAUUUGGCAAGAAACAGAGUGGAGGGAGUUAUCAUUCUGUUAAAUGUCCUGCCCAUGUAUCAAAUUAUCUCUUAAAACAGGAUCACUUGGCUCUUUAAACUCUUCCAGUAGAGGGUGGUAGAAGGUAAUUGGAGAGUCAGGAAAGGGGGACAUCCCCUUUCCCUGGUGCACCCUUUUCUUAGUUACAAAAAUAGGGAGGUACUAGGGAAAAGGUCCUACCUCUUGCCUAUCUAUGUGCCUCAGCAAAUGGCUUUGUUGGUGGAUUCUGUCUGCAGAGUGUAAAUCCUGAGUUAUGUCUCCGCAGCCCCACCCAUGGAGCCCAGCCCCAGGCAGGUCAAUAGCCACCUGCAGGUCACAGCCAGCCACCUGCUCAGUGCUCUGGAUCUGACAGUUGUGGCCUUUGAAUCUCAAGUACACAAAGUGCAGAUGUCUUCAUUAAAUGAACUGCAUCCCAGAGCAUGUACUGGUGGGCCUGGUGAAUGGCUCAGUGUGUGGAAGUGUGUGCCAAGCCUGACAACCUGCACUCAAUCCCUGGGUCCCUCAUGGUGGAAGGAGAGAGAACCUGUUUCCCCAAGCUCUCUGACCUGCACAUGCGGCAUGUACUCAUACUCUGCACCCCAACACACAAAGAUUUUUUUAAAACAUGCAUUCGUUUUAUCUUGGAUUUCAUCAAUAAAAAUGUUGUGUGUGACUGU